CUGAUGCUGCUGUGUAUGAGGUUCUGUGGUCACGUAGGGCUCAGUGUGAGGGUCCAGAGCAGCAGCCGUGGGGACCCAGCCCCUCCAAACCCCACCACCACUCAACACUCCUACAGAGGGUGGGCAGCAUCCAGCCAGGGCCCAGAGAGGGAGGAUGUGGGGACUGAUUUCACAGGUCUUUUUUAACCUCUUGUUUUGUUUUGGGGUAGAGCCAGUUAACAGUGUUGUGAUAGUUUCAGGUGGACAGGAAAGGACUCAGCCAUGCAUGCACAUGUAUCCAUUCUUUUCCAAACUCCCCUCCCAUCCAGGCUUCCACAUAAAAUUGGGCAGAGUCCCAUGUGCUAUAAAGAAGGACCUUGCUAGUUAUCCAUUUUAAAUACAGCAGUGUGUACGUGUCCAUCCCGAGUUUCCUAACUAACUUUCCCCCAUCUUUUCCCCUGGUAACCAUAAGCUCCUUCUCUAAGGCUCACAGGCCUCUCUUGAUCUCAGAUCCAGAGUAAGGACCCGAAGCCUCAAAACAGGCCUUUGUGGAAAGCAGAUCAACAGUGUAGUGAGUGGCCAGGAAGGUCAUGGGACCAUAACAAGCCAAAGUCAAGGUAAUGAUUCAUAUGCAAAUAAACUGAAAACUGAAAGAAUGGAAUACUGAAUAUACUGGAACAGUAUCUGAUCCAAAGAAAAACCCCUACUUUAGUUCCUCCUUUACUCAUACAAACUAACUGCAGGAGUGUGAUCAAGAUGGCGUAGUAGAAGGAUGUGAAGCCUUACUUCUCUCAGAGAUACAUCAAAAACUUCUUCUGCGUGUGGAGCAAGUCCCAUAGAAUACCUACUGGAUGCUGCUGGAAGACCUCAGACUGCCGGAAGAGCAAUAAAAUCUCCACGUAAGCAAGUAGGAAAAAAGAAAAUGAGAAAGGGAUCAGGACGGGACCUGAGCCCCAGGAAGGGGCUAUGAGAGAGGAAAGGUUCCUUGCUCUGGGAAGCCCCCUCGCCAGCAGGGAGGUUGGCCAGGACGGAGGGGAGCUUCAGAGCCUCAGAAGAGAACUGCAGCAGCCAGAGCAGAGGGGAAGCUGCACAGGCAGUCAGUGCUGCCGCCCUGCACGCCCCAGCCUGAGACAUGCACCCACAGGUGCAGGAUGGGGCUGGGAGCUGGAACUCAGGCUUCAGACAUCAGACCAGGGAGAGGACUGGGGAUGGCCAUGCAAAAACAGCCUAGGCUGGCUGGAAUCUGACUGCAAGCACAACUGAGGGUGUGCGUGGAGGAAGUCCCAGCUGCCUUAGAGGCCAGGCGUCAUUGUUUGAGGGGUGCAUGAGGGAAGAGGCGGGACCCAAAUUCCUUCCCUGUGCUCGUGCUCACAGAGGGCAGGACACCACCUGCACUGGCUCCAGGUCUGGGUGCAAGCCACCGUCACCCACCUUCCUUGCAGACUCCAGGGUAGUCCCGAGCCACCACCACCCCUAUCACAUGUUCAGGGCACACCUGAGCCACCACCCCUGCCAAGAACCCUAGCACCAGGCACCAGCCACCACAUCUGCACACCCCUAUCAAGCAGAUAAUGACCAAAACACACUGAGGAAGGAGGGAACAAGCAUCAAUACUAAAAAAAAGCCCUUAAACCCACACAAGCUCCUUAGGGUCACCCCCACAUAUCAACAGUCCUCCAAGACCACAGUAGGUAACUGCUUCCCCUAAACUCACAGAGUGAGAGAAAUGUAAGUAAAAUUAAGAAGCAAAGGAGCCACUCCCAGAUAAUAGAUCAAGAGAAUUCCCCUGAAAGAACAAUGAAACAGACCUCUUUAUUCUAAUAGACACUGAUUUCCAAAAGGAGAUAAUGAAAAUACUGAAGGAAUUAAGAAAGGCUAUCAACAGAAAUGCAAAGUACUUUAAAAAGGAACUAAAAAAUACAGAGAGAAACCAAGAAAAAUUAGCAAACUCAUUUGCAGAGAGCAAAGCUGAGCUAAAAGCAAUAAACAGCAGAAUGGAUAACACAGAAGAAAGAAUAAAUGGUCUGGAUGAUAGAAUAAUGGAAAUUAGCAAUUGGUAAUUGGGAUAGCAGUUACAAUUGGGAUAUCCCAAUUGGGAUAGCAGACAGAAAGCCAAAUUAAAAUAAAUAAAAGCAAUACGAGACCUAUGUGAUAACAAAAGCCAGCCAAUCUAUAUGUAACAUGGAUUCCAGAAAAGGAAGAAUAAGAAAAGGGGAUUGAAAAUGUAUUUGAAGAAAUUAUGGCUGAAAACUUCCCAAACCUAACAAAGAAGAGAUAUUCAUGUACAGAAUGCACAGAGGGUUCCCAAACAAGCUAAACUCAAACAGACCACACCAAGACAUAUUAUUAUAAAAAUGACA
Molecule: long non-coding RNA, 2339 nt
Organism: Bos taurus (domestic cattle)
Lineage: Eukaryota; Metazoa; Chordata; Mammalia; Artiodactyla; Bovidae
Source: Ensembl